AUAUAUCCAGUGGUGGGUGAGGUUUGGGUGAACCCCUAGCUGUGAUCUCUAGCUGGGCCCGUCCACCCACCCUUGUGCUCUGCUUUCCCUAAAUAACUAACUUUUCCCCCACCCAAGCUGCCCAGGUGAGUU
Non-coding RNA from Notechis scutatus (mainland tiger snake), 132 nucleotides. The record is from RefSeq and is a predicted model, not a curated record. Lineage: Eukaryota; Metazoa; Chordata; Lepidosauria; Squamata; Elapidae.